CCCAACUGUAGGCAACUACCUAGGCUGCCUUAUACCUAGGAAGUGUUACACUGCUGAGAGAAAAGCAGCCAAUAGCGGGCAGGUCUUCUGGCCUGGUUAAUGCAAAAUUUGUGUUAACUGUAUCAGCAGGUCACCAUAGCUGCCUAUUCUAUUGCUUCUUUUUUUUAAAGAUUUAUUUAUUUUUAUUACAAAGUCAGAUAUACAGAGAAGAGGAGAGA
This is a small nucleolar RNA of Ochotona princeps (American pika), 218 nucleotides long. Its record names the gene SNORA74. It matches the Rfam family "Small nucleolar RNA SNORA74". From Rfam's summary of the family: U19 belongs to the H/ACA class of snoRNAs. snoRNAs bind a number of proteins (including dyskerin, Gar1p and Nop10p in the case of the H/ACA class) to form snoRNP complexes. This class are thought to guide the sites of modification of uridines to pseudouridines by forming direct base pairing interactions with substrate RNAs. The record is from Ensembl. Lineage: Eukaryota; Metazoa; Chordata; Mammalia; Lagomorpha; Ochotonidae.